UACAGAGGUGGCAAGCGUUGUUCGGAUUUAUUGGGCGUAAAGGGUCCGUAGGCGGUUUGAAAAGUCAGAUGUGAAAUCCCGCAGCUCAACUGUGGAACUGCAUUUGAAACUUUCAGACUAGAGUAUGAGAGGGGUUAAGGGAAUUCCCGGUGUAAGGGUGAAAUCUGCAGAGAUCGGGAGGAACACCAGUCGCGAAGGCGCUUAACUGGCUCAUUACUGACGCUCAGGGACGAAAGCUAGGGGAGCAAACGGG
RNAcentral lists this ribosomal RNA (253 nucleotides) under uncultured bacterium. RNAcentral's name for it is "partial 16S ribosomal RNA". It matches the Rfam family "Bacterial small subunit ribosomal RNA", at positions 524 to 776 of the family's 1533-position model. The record is from RNAcentral.